This 4601-nucleotide long non-coding RNA is filed under the name Homo sapiens (human). RNAcentral describes it as "KHDC1 antisense RNA 1, transcript variant 16 (KHDC1-AS1)". Lineage: Eukaryota; Metazoa; Chordata; Mammalia; Primates; Hominidae. The record is from RNAcentral.
AAGCAACCCAGAGCCCUCCUCCCGCCUGCUCUGUGUAGGAGACAGCCUGCGGAGCCCACUGCCGGCGCGCAGAGAGCCCAGCAGCUCUUGAGUCCAGGAAGCAAGGGUGGGAGGAGGGACGAGCCAGUGGCAAUGACCCAGACCCGGACGACCCCCAUUGCUGAGCCAGCGGAGCUGCUUGGAGGCAGAGGUUGCAGUGAGCUGAGAUUUUGCGACUACACUCCAACCUGGGCAACAGAGCGGGACUCCAUUCCAAAAAAAUAAGAAAAACAGAAAAAUAAUAAUUACAUCUGCAAAGACCUUAUUUCCAGAGACAGAGUUUUGCUGUGUUGCCAGGCUGAUCAACUCCUGAGCUUAUGCAAUCCACUCACCUCGGCCUCCCAAAGUGCCAGGAUUACAGGCGUGAGCCACCUUGCCCGGCCAAGAUGAGAUCCAAAGUCCACAAAUAUAUCAUAAAUCUGAAGAGGAACUGGGAGAAGCUUCUGCUGGCAGCUCAUGCCAUUGUUGCCAUUGAAAACCCUGCUGAUGUGUCAUAUCCUGCAGGAAUACUAGCUAGUGGGCUGUGCUGAAGUUUGCUGCUGCUGCUGGAGCCACAUGUAUUGCUGGUCACUUCACUUCUGGAACCUUUGCUAACCAGAUCCAAUCAUCUUCUGCCACCCACAUCUUCUGGUGGUUACUGAUUCUAGGGCUAACUAUCAGCCUCUCUCAGGGGCUUCUUAUGGUAACCUACCUACCUACCACUGCUGUAUGUAACAGAUUCUCCUCUGAGCUAUGUGGAUAUUGUCAUCCCAUGCAACAACAAGGAAGCUCAAUCACUGAGUCUAAUGUAGUGGAUGCUGGCCCAGGAAGCUCUGUGCAUGUGUUGCACCAUCUCCCAUGAUCAUGCCUGAUCUCUACUUCUAUAGAGAUCCUGAAGAGAUUGAAAAGGAAGAGUAGGCUGCAGCUGAAAAAGGAGGAAUUUCAAAGUGAAUGGACUGCUGUAGUGCAAGUUUACUGCUACUCAAUCUGAGGUUGCAGACUGGUUUAAAGACAUGCAGGUGCCCUCUGUGCCUAUUCAGCAGUUCCCUACUGAAGAUUGGAGCACUUAGCCUACCAUGAAUGACUGGUCUGCAACUUCCACUGCUCAGACCACUGAAUGGGUAAGAAUAACCACUGAGUGGCCUUAAGCUGUUCUUCCACAAGCUCUUAAACAAGAUGGAAAUAACGCUGAUGGAAAUAAACAACAGUUUCCAAGAAAACACGAACAGCUGAAGUGGCAAUGUUUAAGUAACAUCUGGUAGACUUUAACAUGAAUGUUAUUAAGCAGGAAAUUAUGAUCUUUUAAGUUGGAACAUGUAAUGUUAAUCCUUUUGCACCAAAAUAUCUCUUUAAGUCUAAAUUAUCCACUUUUUUUUUUAAUUCUUCGUAGAGAUAGAGGUUUCGCUUUGUUGCCCAGGCUGUUCUUGACUUCCUAACUUCAAGCAAUCCUUCUGCCUCAGCCUCCCAGAGUGCUGGGAUUAUAGGCAUUUGCCACCGUGCCUGGUGUACCCAGUUUCUGUUAUCAACAGAAUGCAGUGGUGUAUGGUUGCUAAAGGGUCCCAAGAUCAGGACCUACGUUAAGGUGGAUUUUGAAUUAUUUAAAAUUCUGAUUUUGUUUUAUUUUUAAUUAAUCUUUGGGGGAAGGAUGGGAGGGGGGUGAGGGUUGAAGAAGUAAACAUUGUACCUAUUGGAUACAAUGUUUAAUAUUUGUGUGAUGGGCACACUGGAAGCCCAAACCUCACUAUUACACAAUACAUUCAUGUAACAAGCCUGCACAUGCACCUCCUGAAUCUAUUUUUAAAAAUUUAAUUCUCUAGCACAGACUCCCUUUUUUUGGUAAGAUGGCGGGGUACGACUUAACUACUCGCAUCACGCACCUUUUGGAUCGGCAUCUAGUCUUUCCGCUCCUUGAGUUUCUCUCUGUAAAGGAGAUAUAUAAAGAAAAGGAAUUAUUACAAGGUAAAUUGGACCUUCUUAGUGAUGCCAACAUGGUAGACUUUGCUAUGGAUGCAUACAAAAACCUUUAUUCUGAUGAUAUUCCUCAUGCUUUGAAAGAGAAUAGAACCACAGUUGUUGCACAACUGAAACAGCUUCAGGCAGAAACAGAACUAAUUGUGAAAAUGUUUGAAGAUCCAGAAACGACAAGGCAAAUGCGGUCAACCAGGGAUGGUAGGAUGCUCUUUGACUACCUGGCGGACAAGCAUGGUUUUAGGCAGGAGUAUUUAGAUACAUUCUACACAUAUGCAAAAUUCCAGUAUGAAUGUGGGAAUUACUCAGGAGCAGCAGAAUAUCUUUAUUUUUUCAGAGUGUUGGUUCCAGCAACAGACAGAAAUGCUGUAAGUUCACUCUGGGGAAAGCUGGCCUCUGAAAUCUUAAAGCAGAAUUGGGAUGCAGACAUGGAAGACCUUACAUGGUUAAAAGAGACCAUAGAUAAUAAUUCUGUGAGUUCUCCACUCCAGUCUCUUCAGCAGAGAGCAUGGCUCGUUCACUGGUCUCUGUUUUCUUCAAUCACCCCAAAGGUUGUGAUAAUAUUGUUGAUCUCUUCCUUUACCAGCCACAGCAUCUUAAUGUGUCCACACAUUCUUCACUAUUUGACUACAGCAGUCAUAGCAAACAAGGAUGUUCGAAAACGUUGGCAGGUGCUAAAAGAUCUAGGUAAAGUUACUCAACAGGAGUCUUACACAUAUAAAGACCCAAUUACAGAAUUUGUUGAAUGCUUAUAGAUUAACUUUGACUUAGAUGGGGCUAAGAAAAAGCUGAGAGAAUGUGAAUCAGUGCUUGUGAACGACUUCUUGGUGGCUUGUCUUAAGGAUUUCAUUGACAAUGCCCAUCUCUUCAUAUUUGAGACUUUCUGUCACAUCCACCAGUGUAUCAGCAUUAACAUGUUGGCAGACAAAUUGAACAUGACUCCAGAUGAAACUGAAAGGUGGAUUGUAAAUGUGAUUAGAAAUGCAAGACUGGAUGCCAAGAUUGAUUCUAAAUUAGGUCAUGUGGUUAUGGUAACAAUGUACUCUCACCCUAUCAGCAAGUGAUUGAAAAGACCAAAAGCCUUUCUUUUAGAAGCUAGAUUUUGGCCAUGAAUAUUGAGAAGAAACUUAAUGACAAUAGCAGGUCAGAGGCUCCUAACUGGGCAACUCAAGAUUCUGGCUUCUACUGAAGAAACAUAAGGAAAAGAUUUUAAAAAAACUCUAAAAGAAAGAUGAAAUAAUAAAACUAUUAUAUAAAGGGUGACUUACAUUUUGGAAACAACAUAUUGAGUGUAAAUUGUGAAGAAUUGGAAUAAAAUUGACUGAUUCAAAAAAAUUUAAUUCACAAAAAAAUUUUAAUCCUUUUAAGCUAAUUAUAGAUUCACAUGUAGUUGUAAGAAGUUACAAAGAGGCUAGGUGCAGUAGCUGACGCCCAUGAUCCCCGCACUUUGGGAGGCCGAGGCAGGCAGAUCUCUUGAGGCCAGGAGUUUGAGACUAGCCUGGCCAACAUGGCAAAACCCCAUCUCUACAAAAAAUUAGCAAAGCAUGGUGGCACAUGCCUGUAAUUACAGCUACUUGGGAGGCUGAGGCAUGAGAAUCACUUGACCUGGGAUUACAAGUGUAAUCCCAGCCAUAGGCUGGGUGCAGUGGCUCACACCUGUAAUCCCAGCACUUUGGGAGGCCAAGGUACGGGUGGAUCACCUGAGGUCAAGAGUUCAAGACCAGCCUGGCCAACAUGGUGAAACCCCGUCUCUACAAAAACACAAAAAUUAGCCGGGCAUGAUGGUGCGCACCUGUAAUCCCAGCUACUCAGGAGGCUGAGGCAGGAGAAUCGCAUGAACCCAGGAGGCAGAUGUUGCAGUGAGCCAAGAUCACGCCAUUGCACUCCAGCCUGGGCAACAGAGUGAGACUCCACCUCAAAAAAAAAAAAACAAAAAAAAACCACCAGCCAUUUGGGAAGCCAAGGCAGGAUUGCUUGAGACCAACCAGAAGUUCAAGGUUGCCUGGGCAACAGAGCAAGACUGUCUCGAGACAAAACAAAAAGUCAGCAUCUUCUGCCCACUUUUACUUUAACAUACAUUUAUGGAUCUAUUGUCUCUUUCCCUGUUCUAAAACUUUAAAUUUCACAAGAAUGAAGAUUUUGCUGUCUUGUUUCCUGCUGUGUCCCCAGCAUAAACAGCAUAAAGAAGUGCCAUAAGAUAGAAAUUUUUGUUUUCUGUUCACCAGUAUAUCCACAGCACCUAGAACAGCAUCUGCUUUAGACUUAUUAGAUGAAGACUUAAAAAAAAAAGGAACAGCACUUCUGCACAUAUUUAGCACUUGAUACAUAUUUGUGGAAUAAUUUCUAUCAUAACUAGCAGCUACUUCCUAAUUUGAUAUGUAGCAUCCCGUAUUAACAGGACUUUUGUGAAUGGAGAGGACAUCUAUUUAUUCUUUGUUAUGUGCCAAAUAUAUUUGUAUUAAUCAUAACUCUUAAUAUUCCUUUAAAAUUAAAUAAUUGUUUCCACAGCUCUUAAAAUAGAAUUUAGGAACCUAGCAACAUGCCACUCAUCCAUUAACAGUGAUAAAUUAUUUAAUUUUAUAAACUUUUCAUUAAAGUAACUGAUAUAGUUUGGA